GAUAUUGCACAAUGGGGGAAACCCUGAUGCAGCGACGCCGCGUGAGGGAAGAAGGUCUUCGGAUUGUAAACUUUGGGCUUCAGGGACGAAAAUGACGGUACCUGAGGAGGAAGCAAGGGCAAACAAGUUGCAGGCAGCCGCGGUAAUACGUAGGUGGCAAGCGUUAUCCGGAAUUACUGGGUGUAAAGGGAGCGUAGGCGGGGCGAUAAGUUAGAUGUGAAAUACCGGGGCUCAACUCCGGGGCUGCAUUUGAAACUAUUGUUCUUGAGUGAAGUAGAGGCAAGCGGAAUUCCUAGUGUAGCGGUGAAAUGCGUAGAUAUUAGGAGGAACACCAGUGGCGAAGGCGGCUUGCUGGGCUUUUACUGACGCUGAGGCUCGAAAGCAUGGGUAGCAAACAGG
This 399-nucleotide ribosomal RNA is filed under the name uncultured bacterium. RNAcentral's name for it is "partial 16S ribosomal RNA". It matches the Rfam family "Bacterial small subunit ribosomal RNA", at positions 359 to 776 of the family's 1533-position model. The record is from RNAcentral.